Molecule: ribosomal RNA, 916 nt
Filed under: Talaromyces verruculosus
Lineage: Eukaryota; Fungi; Ascomycota; Eurotiomycetes; Eurotiales; Trichocomaceae
Description: eukaryotic LSU rRNA
Rfam family: Eukaryotic large subunit ribosomal RNA
Source: RNAcentral
UUGACCUCGGAUCAGGUAGGAGUUACCCGCUGAACUUAAGCAUAUCAAUAAGCGGAGGAAAAGAAACCAACCGGGAUUGCCUCAGUAACGGCGAGUGAAGCGGCAAGAGCUCAAAUUUGAAAUCUGGCCCCUUUGGGGUCCGAGUUGUAAUUUGCAGAGGAUGCUUCGGGUGCGGUCCCCGUCUAAGUGCCCUGGAACGGGCCGUCAUAGAGGGUGAGAAUCCCGUCUGGGAUGGGCGGCCGCGCCCGUGUGAAGCUCCUUCGACGAGUCGAGUUGUUUGGGAAUGCAGCUCUAAGCGGGUGGUAAAUUUCAUCUAAAGCUAAAUACUGGCCGGAGACCGAUAGCGCACAAGUAGAGUGAUCGAAAGAUGAAAAGCACUUUGAAAAGAGAGUUAAACAGCACGUGAAAUUGUUGAAAGGGAAGCGUUGUCCACCAGACUCGCCCGGGGGGGUUCAGCCGGCACCUGUGCCGGUGUACUCCUCUCCGGGCGGGCCAGCAUCGGUUUGGGCGGCUGGUGAAAGGCCCCGGGAAUGUACCACCCUUCGGGGUGCCUUAUAGCCCGGGGUGCCAUACAGCCAGCCUGGACCGAGGCCCGCGCUCCGGCGAGGAUGCUGGCGUAAUGGUGGUCAACGGCCCGUCUUGAAACACGGACCAAGGAGUCUAACAUCUAUGCGAGUGUUCGGGUGUCAAACCCGUCCGCGCAGUGAAAGCGAACGGAGGUGGGAGCCCCUCGGGGCGCACCAUCGACCGAUCCUGAUGUCUUCGGAUGGAUUUGAGUAAGAGCAUAGCUGUUGGGACCCGAAAGAUGGUGAACUAUGCCUGAAUAGGGCGAAGCCAGAGGAAACUCUGGUGGAGGCUCGCAGCGGUUCUGACGUGCAAAUCGAUCGUCAAAUUUGGGUAUAGGGGCGAAAGACUA